This 488-nucleotide ribosomal RNA is filed under the name uncultured Microlunatus sp. RNAcentral describes it as "bacterial SSU rRNA". It matches the Rfam family "Bacterial small subunit ribosomal RNA", at positions 1 to 507 of the family's 1533-position model. Lineage: Bacteria; Bacillati; Actinomycetota; Actinomycetes; Propionibacteriales; Propionibacteriaceae. The record is from RNAcentral.
AGUAGUUUGUAUCCUGGCUACGAGGACGACGCUGCGGCGUGCUUAACACAUGCAAGUCGAACGCGUCGUGCCCCUUCGGGGGUAGUCACGAGUGGCGAACGGGUGAGUAACACGUGAGCAACCUGCCCUUGACACUGGAAUAACAGCUGGAACAGCUGCUAAUACCGGAUACGACCUCAACAGACAUCUGUAGAGGUGGAAAGCUCCGGCGGUCAGGGGUGGGCUCGCGGCCUAUCAGCUUGUUGGUGAGGUAACGGCUCACCAAGGCUUCGACGGGUAGCCGGCCUGAGAGGGCGACCGGCCACACUGGGACUGAGAUACGGCCCAGACUCCUACGGGAGGCGGCAGUGGGGAAUAUUGCACAAUGGGCGCAAGCCUGAUGCAGCAACGCCGCGUGCGGGAUGACGGCCUUCGGGUUGUAAACCGCUUUCAGCUCCGACGAAGCGAAAGUGACGGUAGGAGCAGAAGAAGGACCGGCCAACUACGUG